AAGGGUAUAGAUCAGUGGUAGAUCGUGUGCUUAACAUGCACAAGGUCCUGGGUUCAAUCCCCAGUACCUCCA
Molecule: transfer RNA, 72 nt
Filed under: Camelus bactrianus (Bactrian camel)
Lineage: Eukaryota; Metazoa; Chordata; Mammalia; Artiodactyla; Camelidae
Also listed under: 1 other name
Rfam family: tRNA
About the family: Transfer RNA (tRNA) molecules are approximately 80 nucleotides in length. Their secondary structure includes four short double-helical elements and three loops (D, anti-codon, and T loops).
Source: Rfam by way of RNAcentral